This 129-nucleotide long non-coding RNA is filed under the name Lynx pardinus (Iberian lynx). The record is from RNAcentral. Lineage: Eukaryota; Metazoa; Chordata; Mammalia; Carnivora; Felidae.
CAGGGAUUGCUGACAUUCAGGGAUGUGGCCAUAGAAUUUUCUCGGAAAGAGUUGGGGUGCCUGAACCACAGUCAGUGGGAACUGUACAGGGAUGUGAUGUUAGAGAACUACGGACACCUCCUUUUCUUG